GGGAGGUGGGGCCUAGUGGGAGGUAUUUGGGUCACAGGGCAGAUCCUUUAUGAAUAGAUUAAUGCCUUUUCAUGGGACUGGAUUAGUUACCAGGAGUGGAUUGUUAUCAGAGUGAGUUCAGCUUCCUAGACUCUCGUGUUUCCUCUCUUGCCAUGUGAGCCCCUUGCGUACACCUGUUUCGCCUUCCACUUUCCCCAUGAGAUGAAGCAGCCCAAGACCCUCGCCACUUGUGCUGCCCGAUCUCGGACUUUUCAGACACAAGCAGGCGUGCUGCUUUGCUGUAUGUGUGCCCUGUGGAAUGCUUCGUGGUGCUGCUGCACACCUCCAUCACCUACUGCGGUGAGGGCCCCUGGGAUCUGCGCUCCCGGCGCUGUGCCCUCGCCCCACCGCUGUGCCUGAGCGCCCCCCCAUCCCGCCCGGGGACCCGCGCCCGCUCCUGGAACCGCACCCAUGGCCAGCACCCUGUCCCCAACCCCGCUUUAGUUUCCACCCACGCGAAGAAACUCAGCCUCGGUCCUGUUUAGGCACGGAAAGGGCUGGAGAACCGCGUCCUUCCGAGGCGCCCCCAGCGCGGCUCCCCACAGCGUGCAGGACCCCGGACUGUCGCGCCGCGCCUGGGGACGCACAGGAGGUGGGAUCCAGGAGCGAAGCCCCUGCAGCGUCCCAGACUGGACGUGGCCCUGCACCCCCAGCUGCUGGGCUGGCCGGGACAUGCAUGAGAUCGCGCGCUUUACAAACUGUUGUUCUUUCUGGGAAAGUUAAAGAACGCGCUGCAGCCGCUUCGCCUGCUGCUGAAAGGAGCCAGGCAGGGCUGGUCACUCCGCGCCACGCCCCGUGCGCCAACACCGGAAGGCUACAAGGUUCAUCUGCAAGUUUCUUCAAAUGGUUGCAAUGCUUACUGCAACCUCCAUCUCCUAGGCUCCAGUGAUCCUCCUGCCUCAGCCUCCCAAAGUGCUGGGAUUACAAGCAUGAGCUACUACAUCUGUCCAAAAGCUGCAUUUCCAAGACCAGAUUUAACCAAACUGCAAAGUCUGAGGGCAUGGUUCCUAAAAUUUCCCUCAUUCCUGACACCAACAGCAAGUUUUAGAGGUUUCCAAAGCACCCU
Molecule: long non-coding RNA, 1105 nt
Filed under: Homo sapiens (human)
Lineage: Eukaryota; Metazoa; Chordata; Mammalia; Primates; Hominidae
Description: HSALNT0217057
Source: RNAcentral